Non-coding RNA from Podarcis muralis (Common wall lizard), 133 nucleotides. Ensembl annotates it as small Cajal body-specific RNA 11. The record is from Ensembl. Lineage: Eukaryota; Metazoa; Chordata; Lepidosauria; Squamata; Lacertidae.
CCGUCCAGCCUUCAGUGCUGCUCCUCUUUCCAGCUGUGACAGAGGACUUGGGGCGGACGUAGAUCAAACCAACUCUUAAUUUAGGAGGGCUUCCUGGAGCUAAGGCUAGCCCUCAAAGGCACAAGAGGACAUU